GACGAACGCUGGCGGCGUGCUUAACACAUGCAAGUCGAACGGAAAGGCUCUGCUUUUGUGGGGUGCUCGAGUGGCGAACGGGUGAGUAACACGUGAGUAACCUGCCCUUGACUUUGGGAUAACUUCAGGAAACUGGGGCUAAUACCGGAUAGGAGCUCCUGCUGCAUGGUGGGGGUUGGAAAGUUUCGGCGGUUGGGGAUGGACUCGCGGCUUAUCAGCUUGUUGGUGGGGUAGUGGCUUACCAAGGCUUUGACGGGUAGCCGGCCUGAGAGGGUGACCGGCCACAUGGGGACUGAGAUACGGCCCAGACUCCUACGGGAGGCAGCAGUGGGGAAUAUUGCACAAUGGGCGGAAGCCUGAUGCAGCAACGCCGCGUGCGGGAUGACGGCCUUCGGGUUGUAAACCGCUUUCGCCUGUGACGAAGCGUGAGUGACGGUAAUGGGUAAAGAAGCACAGGCGAACUACGU
This 467-nucleotide ribosomal RNA is filed under the name uncultured bacterium. RNAcentral describes it as "partial 16S ribosomal RNA". It matches the Rfam family "Bacterial small subunit ribosomal RNA", at positions 28 to 506 of the family's 1533-position model. The record is from RNAcentral.